AGAGUUUGAUCAUGGCUCAGAACGAACGCUGGCGGCGUGCCUAACACAUGCAAGUCGAACGAGAAACUCCACCUUCGGGUGGAGGAGUAAAGUGGCGCACGGGUGAGUAACACGUGGGUAACCUGCCCUUGAAUCUGGGAUAACCUCGCGAAAGCGGGGCUAAUACCGGAUAAUGUCCUUGAGACUCCGGUCUCAGGGAUGAAAGGUGACCUCUCCAUGGAAGUUGCCGUUCAAGGAGGGGCCCGCGGCCUAUUAGCUUGUUGGUGGGGUAAUGGCCUACCAAGGCUAUGAUGGGUAGCUGGUCUGAGAGGAUGAUCAGCCACACUGGCACUGAAACACGGGCCAGACUCCUACGGGAGGCAGCAGUGAGGAAUAUUUCGCAAUGGGGGAAACCCUGACGCAGCAACGCCGUGUGAGCGAAGAAGGCCUUCGGGUCGUAAAGCUCUGUCAGGUGGGAAAAAAGUCCUAUGGUUAAUAGCCAUAGGGUCUGAUGGUACCACCAGAGGAAGCACCGGCUAACUCCGUGCCAGCAGCCGCGGUAAUACGGAGGGUGCAAGCGUUGUUCGGAAUCACUGGGCGUAAAGCGUGUGUAGGCGGUCUGGCAAGUCAGAUGUGAAAGCCUCCUGCUCAACAGGAGAAGUGCAUCUGAUACUGCCAGGCUGGAGUAUGGGAGAGGAGAGCGGAAUUCCCGGUGUAGAGGUGAAAUUCGUAGAUAUCGGGAGGAACACCGGUGGCGAAGGCGGCUCUCUGGCCCAAUACUGACGCUGAGACACGAAAGCGUGGGGAGCAAACAGGAUUAGA
RNAcentral lists this ribosomal RNA (801 nucleotides) under uncultured bacterium. RNAcentral's name for it is "bacterial SSU rRNA". It matches the Rfam family "Bacterial small subunit ribosomal RNA", at positions 8 to 782 of the family's 1533-position model. The record is from RNAcentral.